This 472-nucleotide ribosomal RNA is filed under the name uncultured bacterium. RNAcentral's name for it is "partial 16S ribosomal RNA". It matches the Rfam family "Bacterial small subunit ribosomal RNA", at positions 28 to 507 of the family's 1533-position model. The record is from RNAcentral.
GACGAACGCUGGCGGCGUGCUUAACACAUGCAAGUCGAACGCUGAAGCUUGGUGCUUGCACUGGGUGGAUGAGUGGCGAACGGGUGAGUAAUACGUGAGUAACCCGCCCUUGACUCUGGGAUAAGCCUGGGAAACUGGGUCUAAUACUGGAUAUGACAUGCCACUGCAUGGUGGUGUGUGGAAAGGGUUUUACUGGUUUUGGAUGGGCUCACGGCCUAUCAGCUUGUUGGUGGGGUAAUGGCCUACCAAGGCGACGACGGGUAGCCGGCCUGAGAGGGUGACCGGCCACACUGGGACUGAGACACGGCCCAGACUCCUACGGGAGGCAGCAGUGGGGAAUAUUGCACAAUGGGCGGAAGCCUGAUGCAGCGACGCCGCGUGAGGGAUGACGGCCUUCGGGUUGUAAACCUCUUUCAGCACGGAAGAAGCGAGAGUGACGGUACGUGCAGAAGAAGCGCCGGCUAACUACGUG